This 250-nucleotide unclassified non-coding RNA is filed under the name plant metagenome. Its description in RNAcentral is "partial contains small subunit ribosomal RNA, internal transcribed spacer 1, and 5.8S ribosomal RNA". The record is from RNAcentral.
GUAGGUGAACCUGCGGAAGGAUCAUUACAAAUCCAACGCGUGGCCAUACAUGUGGGCGGCGGCGGCCCUCUUAACCGGGGGUGGUCGUCGUCCGCCGCUGUAUGUGCUGCCUUCCAACACCACGUUGAAAUGUGUUCUUGGCAUCAAGAUCCUAGCAGGUCUUGUGUGUCAAUUAUCAAUCGUUUAAUUAUGUUGCUUCAAGUGUGAAGAUAGGAGGACGCGUCUGCCUUGCAAGAGGUAGUAGUGUCAA